Molecule: ribosomal RNA, 305 nt
Filed under: uncultured bacterium
Lineage: Bacteria
Description: bacterial SSU rRNA
Rfam family: Bacterial small subunit ribosomal RNA
Source: RNAcentral
GACGAACGCUGGCGGCGUGCUUAACACAUGCAAGUCGAGCGGUAAGGCCCUUUCGGGGGUACACGAGCGGCGAACGGGUGAGUAACACGUGGGUGACCUGCCCUCAGCUCUGGGAUAAGCCUGGGAAACCGGGUCUAAUACUGGAUAUGACUCCAUGACGCAUGUUGUGGGGUGGAAAGCCUUGUGCGGCUGAGGAUGGGCCCGCGGCCUAUCAGCUUGUUGGUGGGGUGAUGGCCUACCAGGCGACGACGGGUAGCCGGCCUGAGAGGGCGACCGGGCCACACUGGGACUGAGACACGGCCCAG